GAUGAAUGCUGGCGGCGUGCCUAAUACAUGCAAGUAGAACGCUGAAGGAGGAGCUUGCUCUUCUGGAUGAGUUGCGAACGGGUGAGUAACGCGUAGGGAACCUGCCUGGUAGCGGGGGAUAACUAUUUGAAACGAUAGCUAAUACCGCAUGACAACAGCUACUGCAUGAUAACUGUUUAAAAGGGGCAACUGCUCCACUACCAGAUGGACCUGCGUUGUAUUAGCUUGUUGGUGAGGCAACGGCCCACCAAGGCGACGAUACAUAGCCGACCUGCGAGGGGGCUCAGCCACACUGGGACUUCAACACGGCCCAGACUCCUGCGGAAGGCACCCGUCGGGGAUCUUCGGCACUGGCCGGAAGUCUGACCCCGCAACGCCGCGUCAGGGCAGCAGGUUUUCGGCUCGUGAAGCUCUGUUAUAACAGAAGAGCGAGUGUGAGCGUGGAAAGUUCACACUCUGCCGGUAUCUUACCAGAACUGGACGGCUACCUACGUG
This 495-nucleotide ribosomal RNA is filed under the name uncultured bacterium. RNAcentral's name for it is "partial 16S ribosomal RNA". It matches the Rfam family "Bacterial small subunit ribosomal RNA", at positions 28 to 507 of the family's 1533-position model. The record is from RNAcentral.